Molecule: long non-coding RNA, 513 nt
Organism: Puntigrus tetrazona (Sumatra barb)
Lineage: Eukaryota; Metazoa; Chordata; Actinopteri; Cypriniformes; Cyprinidae
Exons: 3
Source: RefSeq, a predicted model, not a curated record
CAGAAUCUGCCGCUCGCUGGCACUCAGUCACACCGAGAGAGCGAGAACGGGUCUCACAGACGGCCCAGGUACAGGUACAGAGACUCCCGGGACAGGUGUCCGGACCGGAGGCAGACGAGCGGAUAACAAAGUCGGCACAGGUUGGAAGGUAGACGGUGUGAGUGCGAGUGCGUGUGUGUGUGUGUGAGGCACGUGGCGGCCGCUCUCAUUUCCGGGAGUGUCCACACCGUCUGGUCCCUGAGGAUGAACGAUGCUUCUUGUUUGUGGGGGGAGGAGGAGUCUUCAAGGUUAAGCUCUUGGGACCUGGGCAGAGGGCAAAAGCACUCAAUCCCCUGGCUGUGUCCCGACCGAGACGGACGUGGGACGGAUGUCUGUGAGAGAUAAGAAAGAGAAACGGUGGACAAGAGAGGAUGCGGCACUGGCGUGUCUGAGAGAUUGAAUGUUCAAUAUGUUCACAUGCCUAUGAUGAUGAUGAUGGUUUCUUCUGGUUUUUAAAUAAAACUCGAUCCUGUA